This 283-nucleotide ribosomal RNA is filed under the name uncultured Sphaerotilus sp. RNAcentral describes it as "partial 16S ribosomal RNA". It matches the Rfam family "Bacterial small subunit ribosomal RNA", at positions 1 to 295 of the family's 1533-position model. The record is from RNAcentral. Lineage: Bacteria; Pseudomonadati; Pseudomonadota; Betaproteobacteria; Burkholderiales; Sphaerotilaceae.
CGCUGAGUUUGAUCCUGGCUCAGAUUGAACGCUGGCGGUAUGCCUUACACAUGCAAGUCGAACGGUAGAGGGGCAACCCUUGAGAGUGGCGAACGGGUGAGUAAUACAUCGGAACGUGCCCAGUCGUGGGGGAUAACGUAGCGAAAGCUACGCUAAUACCGCAUACGACCCGAGGGUGAAAGCGGGGACUCGCAAGAGCCUCGCGCGAUUGGAGCGGCCGAUGGCAGAUUAGGUAGUUGGUGGGGUAAAGGCCCACCAAGCCUGCGAUCUGUAGCUGGUCUGA